CAUCGCACUGUGGUAAGCCCAUAGAACUGAAUUAAAUGUUACUUGUGACAUUUCGAUAAAGUUUUACACAAAAAAAAAAGAAACCGCUGUGAUGUGUAUU
This is a long non-coding RNA of Nanorana parkeri, 100 nucleotides long. RefSeq lists it as uncharacterized. The record is from RefSeq and is a predicted model, not a curated record. NCBI's taxonomy places the organism in Eukaryota, Metazoa, Chordata, Amphibia, Anura, Dicroglossidae. The transcript has 3 exons.